GAAAAAGUUGGUGGUGAAAUCCCAGAGCUUAACUCUGGAACUGCCAUCAAAACUUUUCAGCUAGAGUUUGAUAGAGGAAAGCAGAAUUUCUAGUGUAGAGGUGAAAUUCGUAGAUAUUAGAAAGAAUACCAAUUGCGAAGGCAGCUUUCUGGAUCAUUACUGACACUGAGGAACGAAAGCAUGGGUAGCGAAGAGGAUUAGAUACCCUCGUAGUCCAUGCCGUAAACGAUGUGUGUUAGACGUUGGAAAUUUAUUUUCAGUGUCGCAGCGAAAGCGAUAAACACACCGCCUGGGGAGUACGACCGCAAGGUUAAAACUCAAAUGAAUUGACGGGGACCCGCACAAGUAGUGGAGCAUGUGGUUUAAUUCGAAGAUACGCGCAGAACCUUACCAACACUUGACAUGUUCGUCGCGACUUUAAGAGAUUAAAGUUUUCGGUUCGGCCGGACGAAACACAGGUGCUGCAUGGCUGUCGUCAGCUCGUGUCGUGAGAUGUUGGGUUAAGUCCCGCAACGAGCGCAACCCUCACUUUUAGUUGCCAUCAUUAAGUUGGGCACUCUGAAAGAACUGCCAGUGAUAAGCUGGAGGAAGGUGGGGAUGACGUCAAGUCCUCAUGGCCCUUACGUGUUGGGCUACACACGUGCUACAAUGGUAUCUACAACAGGAAGCAAAACAG
Molecule: ribosomal RNA, 676 nt
Filed under: uncultured bacterium
Lineage: Bacteria
Description: bacterial SSU rRNA
Rfam family: Bacterial small subunit ribosomal RNA
Source: RNAcentral